Molecule: transfer RNA, 48 nt
Filed under: Zenion sp. RH 9
Lineage: Eukaryota; Metazoa; Chordata; Actinopteri; Zeiformes; Zenionidae
Description: partial tRNA-Val
Source: RNAcentral
CAUCUCCCUUACGCUGAGAAGACGCCCAUGCAAAAUUGGGCCAUCCUG